This 2050-nucleotide ribosomal RNA is filed under the name human gut metagenome. RNAcentral describes it as "bacterial LSU rRNA". It matches the Rfam family "Bacterial large subunit ribosomal RNA", at positions 1 to 1991 of the family's 2925-position model. The record is from RNAcentral.
GCAAGAUACCACGGGCGCACGGCGGAUGCCUUGGCACAGGGAGCCGAUGAAGGACGCGGCAAGCUGCGAUAAUCCCCGGCGAGGAGCACACAUCCUUCGACCCGGGGGUCUCCGAAUGGGCGAACCCAUGCACAGCAGUGUGCAUAUCCCCGGCCUGAACGCAUAGGGCCGGGGAGGACAACCCGGGGAACUGAAACAUCUAAGUACCCGGAGGAGAGGAAAUCAAUCUCGAGACUCCCCGAGUAGCGGCGAGCGAAAGGGGACCGAUGGCCAAACCGUCGAGCGGGCGUACCCGGCAGGGGUUCCGCCGGCGGGGUUGCAGGGCCGCGCAUCCGGGGGCUGCCGCCCCCGGGCGCAGGUCCGGCUGGGGAGCGGAACGGCAUGGGAGGGCCGGCCGCAGCGGGUGACAGCCCCGUACGCGAACCCAGACCGGACGGCGCGACGCGGUCCCUGAGUAGGGCCGGGCACGUGAAACCCGGUCCGAACCUGGGUGGACCACCAUCCAAGCCUGAGUACUACCCUGUGACCGAUAGCGCACCAGUACCGUGAGGGAAAGGUGAAAAGCACCCCGGGAGGGGAGUGAAACAGUACCUGAAACCGUGCGCCCACGAGCAGUCGGAGCACCCUCCGGGGUGUGACGGCGUGCCUUUUGUAGAAUGAGCCAGCGAGUCGCUGGCGCGGGGCGAGGUUAACCGAAAGGGAGCCGGAGCGAAAGCGAGCCUUAACAGGGCGACUUGAGUCCCGCGCCGCGGACGCGAAGCCGGGUGAGCUAUCCGUGGGCAGGCUGAAGCGGGGGUAAGACCCCGUGGAGGGCCGAACGCACGUCGGUUGAAAACGGCGGCGAUGACCUGCGGAUAGGGGUGAAAGGCCAAUCAAACCCGGAGAUAUCUCGUUCUCCCCGAAAUAGCUUUAGGGCUAGCGUCGCGCGUUCACCGCCGGAGGUAGAGCACCGGAUGGACGAGGGGGCUUCGCCGCCUACCGAAUCCAACCGAACUCCGAAUGCCGGCGGCCCAGAGCGCGGCAGUCAGAGCAUGUGGGCUAAGCUGUGUGCUCGAGAGGGAAACAGCCCGGACCGCCCGCUAAGGUCCCCAAGUUCCAGCCGAGUGGCAAAGGAUGUGCGUCCGCCCAGACAACCAGGAUGUUGGCUUAGAAGCAGCCAUGCAUUCAAAGAGUGCGUAACAGCUCACUGGUCGAGUGGACAUGCGCCGACAAUACACGGGGCUAAGCUGGACACCGAAGCGGCGGGAUUCUAAUUCAUCAGAAUCGGUAGGGGAGCUUCCCAUGGGCGGAGAAGCCGGAGGGCGACCGACGGUGGAGCGCAUGGGAGUGAGAAUGCUGGCAUGAGUAGCGAGAGACGAGAGAGUAACUCGUCCGCCGUGAACCCGAGGUUUCCUGGGCAAGGCUAAUCCUCCCAGGGUCAGUCGGGGGCUAAGGCGAGGCCGGGAGGCGUAGCCGACGCGCAGCAGGCAGACAUUCCUGCACCGCGCACGCGGCGCUACGACCGACGGGGCGACGGAUGGGGGUGGCUCGGCGGGGUUCUGGACGUCCCCGUGAUGGAGCGCGGCCCGCGGACCAGGGAAAUCCGGUCCGCAUCGAGGGCGAGGCUCCGGACGAAGCACUUAAGCGAAGCGAGUGAGCCCGAGGUCCCUAGAAAAACCCCUAGGCAGGCGCGUGCGCGCCCGUACCGCAAACCGACACAGGUGGGUGGGUAGAACAUACCGAGGCGAUCGGGUCAACCAUGGUCAAGGAACUCGGCACAAUGGCCCCGUAACUUCGGGAGAAGGGGUGCCCGCGCGUACGUGAACGGACUUGCUCCGGGAGCGGAGGCGGGCCGCAGUGGAGAGGCCCAAGCGACUGUUUACCAAAAACACAGGACUCUGCAGAAGCCGCAAGGCGACGUAUAGGGUCUGACGCCUGCCCGGUGCCGGAAGGUCACGCGGAGGAGUUAGCCGUCUCGGCGAAGCCCCGAAGCCAAGCCCCGGUAAACGGCGGCCGUAACUAUAACGGUCCUAAGGUAGCGAAAUUCCUUGUCGGGUAAGUUCCGACCUGC